GGGGAUUUAGCUCAGUGGUAGAGCGCUUGCCUAGCAAGCGAAAGGCCCUGGGUUCCGUCCCCAGCUCCA
This 69-nucleotide transfer RNA is filed under the name Rattus norvegicus (Norway rat). It matches the Rfam family "tRNA". Rfam says of the family: Transfer RNA (tRNA) molecules are approximately 80 nucleotides in length. Their secondary structure includes four short double-helical elements and three loops (D, anti-codon, and T loops). Further hydrogen bonds mediate the characteristic L-shaped molecular structure. tRNAs have two regions of fundamental functional importance: the anti-codon, which is responsible for specific mRNA codon recognition, and the 3' end, to which the tRNAs corresponding amino acid is attached (by aminoacyl-tRNA synthetases). tRNAs cope with the degeneracy of the genetic code in two manners: having more than one tRNA (with a specific anti-codon) for a particular amino acid; and 'wobble' base-pairing, i.e. permitting non-standard base-pairing at the 3rd anti-codon position. Lineage: Eukaryota; Metazoa; Chordata; Mammalia; Rodentia; Muridae. The record is from Rfam by way of RNAcentral.